This is a non-coding RNA of Paramuricea clavata, 1448 nucleotides long. The record is from the annotation of a GenBank genome assembly. NCBI's taxonomy places the organism in Eukaryota, Metazoa, Cnidaria, Anthozoa, Malacalcyonacea, Plexauridae.
CUACAAGUGAAUAAUUUAUUGUAAAAUUAUUAUUUAUAGUAAACAUGAGUUAUAUAUCUUUAUGAUUUUAUUAUUACUCAGUAACACAUCUUAGUUUAAACCAGCUAUCUAAAAGUCAUUAAAUCUUGACAACCUGUCACUAUGAGAGUCAUUGAAACUUUGACAAGUUAGAGGUUUUUGCUACAUUGUCAUCCCCCCAUCCCCCAGACGUGAGAGGGCGUGCUGGGGCGGUCAAUGUCAAUAUUAAAUAUUAAAUUAUCAGAAAUAGAUAACCUGGAGUUUGGUGGUAUUAGUGUCGUGAAAAAUUCCCGACUGCAUGCAAUACUGUAGUCGUUUAAUAGAUUAAUAGAUAAAGUUUUUACCCUAAAACGGCCGGCCGUCCAACUUCAAGCUGAAAUUCAAUUCUCCACCAUUAUUCUCUAAUCUCUCGAAUGCACCAGGCUAACACAGAUGUCAAGCUCACUUGUCCUCCUUGAAUAGCAUCAGGCGUCUUUCGCACGGCCUGAUUAUUUCGCUGGUCGAUAUCCGAGCAUCAGCUAGGGGUUUGAUAUUUUCGCGGAAAUCUUGGCUUUACUUUGCUUCAAGCAAGCCGCUCUGCGUACUGAUGUAAUUUCUGCGUCUUGGUGUAUUAAUUCCAGGCUGCGAGCAGGCUAUGUUUAAUUUGAUUUAUUAGGAUUCCAGUGUUGGCACGAUGUAGUCUACAUAAAUCCUCGUUUGGUAUCUUCUCACACGAAACCAUGUCUUUGGUAAAAUUGGCGCGAAAUUGCUCCAGAGGAAUCGCAUUCAAAACGCGUAACAUGACCUUGACGCGUAAUAUACAAUUACUUUAUGGUUUCCGUGUUUGGAUGGCCUGAUCCAAACACGCGGGAAUGUUGCGAGAGUUAAGAAAAGCGAGCGAAAUCACGAGCCGGUGAUUUUGCCCGCUUUUCUUAACUCGAGCAACAUUCCCAAGUGUUUGGAUCAGUCCAUCCAAACACGGAAACCAUAAAGUAAUUGUUUUAUAAAAUAACAACAACACGGUAGUCUUCCGUGUUUGGAUGGCCUGAUCCAAACACGGCUUUCGACCAAUCAGAAUACGCGUUAUAUACAUGUUAUUUUAUAACAUGGCUUGCUGUUCAAGAAAUCCUCGUUCACUUUAUGCUGCCGCUGAAUGACCAAAAUACCAAGCGAUGUAAUUUCCAUUAUAUGGCUGCUUCGCCUUGGUCCCUCCUACUGUACGGUGCUGCGACGAACGUCGUCAUGUCUGACUUAUUGAAUUAAAUGAAUUUCGUGAGUCAAACUCUUGAAUAUCCUUACACCCUCUUGCCUUCGGUUUGACUUGAGAUAACCGUCUAUUUUACCAUUGUACGCAUACUGGCAAUUUCAAUCUCCAUCGAGAGAGGUUGAAAAUACGCAGUGGUAUCGCCACAUUCUUAACGUACGUUUGUGGUCUUUUUAUAUAAGCUGCG